AGAGGGUGCAAGCGUUGUCCGGAAUUACUGGGCGUAAAGCGUGCGCAGGCGGUUAUAUAAGACAGAUGUGAAAUCCCCGGGCUCAACCUGGGACCUGCAUUUGUGACUGUAUAGCUAGAGUACGGUAGAGGGGGAUGGAAUUCCGCGUGUAGCAGUGAAAUGCGUAGAUAUGCGGAGGAACACCGAUGGCGAAGGCAAUCCCCUGGACCUGUACUGACGCUCAUGCACGAAAGCGUGGGGAGCAAACAGGAUUAGAUACCCUGGUAGUCCACGCCCUAAACGAUGUCAACUGGUUGUUGGGUCUUCACUGACUCAGUAACGAAGCUAACGCGUGAAGUUGACCGCCUGGGGAGUACGGCCGCAAGGUUA
Molecule: ribosomal RNA, 369 nt
Filed under: uncultured bacterium
Lineage: Bacteria
Description: bacterial SSU rRNA
Rfam family: Bacterial small subunit ribosomal RNA
Source: RNAcentral